UUGUUUUUUAUAAAAUUUUAUUGAAAAAAAUGUUAAUUUUUUCUUGAUUACUUACAUAUAAAGGAAGAAUAUAAACUUUACUAUUGAUAUUUGAUAUAGAGUUGGAGAAGCGUCCUUGAUUUAAACUUUGAGAAUGAUAAUUAACACAGCACCAGCUUCAUGCUCCAGUCACUGUGAAACUUUAACAGAAUGCUAAAUCUAAAAUGAUUGCAAAGGAUGACUUUUUCAGCCUAUUUAUUUUUAGUUGGCUGUUGCACAUUACCUCUUCAUUUUAGUUUCAAGCAGAAUUGUAAGACUUUAUUAACUUUUUGAAAUUUUAUUUUGUUUAAAUUUUUAGGCAUGAAUGAAGAAUACUUUUUAUAGACUAUUUAUAAUUUAAAUUUCGAGGAUGUUAAAAUCUGAAUAUAAGUCUUACAUUAACAAGGACGUAUUGAGGCUAUAAUUUGUAGAAAUUUCAAUGAACAUUAUAUAAAAUAUUAGUACUUGUAUAUAUUAGAUGUUAUAAAGUUCCAUGCCCAAUAUUGAAAGGUCCUGGAUAAUAUCCAAUUUUCAGUUUUUACCCUGAAUGUUAUGUGUUGUUAACUAUGAAGAAGUUGUAAGUAAAUCAUGUCCGUCCAUCAUACCUACAUCUGCUGCUCCGUCAACCCGUGACUGUGCCAAACUACGUAAACAAAUGUUCCAACAAUGUAAAAAUAAAUUCUGUAUUUUCAUUCAUUCAUUUCUAACAUUUGUAUCCAGAUAUUCAGUUUUGGUUUUCUAACAAUUUCACAUUUGGUACUGCUGAAAGCAGUUGUAGGAUUUACCAUUAAAGAAUUUUUAUAUUGUUAAGUAAAGUGAAAUUGAGAGUAUUUUAGUUAUUCAUUCAUGCUGGUACAAGAUAUUAAUAGUAACAUCAUAAAUGCAAAUUAUUGGAUACAAAUAAGGUGCUACUGUGUAUUUGAAAAAGUUUACUUGAAAGAAUUUGGAAAAGAUAUACAACUAUUUCAAAUCUCCAAAUUUACUUUCAUUAUUGAAUGGGUAUCUUCAAUUGGUUUUUGCAGUGACAUAUAUUUUUUUACUUUCCACAAAAAGAUGUGGUAAAACAAAGUUCCUGUUUAACUUUAAGAAAAAGAUUGAAGAUACUAUUUUCUUUAGUUUAUUUAUGUAGUAUUAUUUUUAUAGUAUUUAUAAUAUAUUUUUAUAGCCAUGAUAGCCCAUGUCAAAUUAGAAUAUGAAAAAUUCUAAAAUUUAUAUUGUGAAUAUUGUUUUGUCUUUUUUUUAUAAAUUUAUUGAUAUGCAGAUAAAAACUUGUCAAAUUGUUGUCAGUGGUCUCUAUUUUAUAAGGACCAAUGUUAUUUCAUACACAGCAGAUAUAAAUGGAUUAUCUCCCCUGUUUUAGUUGUUACACAAGACAAUUUGUAGAUUUGUGAUUAUCUCCCCUGUUUAAGUUGUUACAAUAAAAACAACAUGUAGAAUUGUAUAUGGAUUACGACAAAGUUUGAAAUUGCUUUAAAUUUAAAUUACUACACUGAAUAGAUUAUUUCAAUUAUUUAUUUUAACUUUCAACAAAAAAGUGAAAUAUGCCAAAGAGUUCUAGAUAGGCCAAAAUUGUUCAUCGGUCUUAGUGCAAUUUGUGUGUGGUCCAAAAAUAGGAUGAGAUCCUCUUAAAUCAUAGGAAUUGUAUUCUAUUGAAAGAUCAAAUCACUAAUUUGAAGAAAUAAUGCUACCAAAUUAAUGCUAUCUUGAAGUUUUAUUAUAAUUUUGAGAAUUGUUAUGUUCAUUUUCAUUUUAUUUCAAACAUGCAUUUUUCAUGAAUGAGAAAUAGGUAGUCUAUCAUUAAUUUCUAUAUAAUUUUGAACUGUAAUAUAUCAUUGCUUUUAUCAUAAAACUACUGAUAAGAAUACAUUCAGAUUGCAUACAUGACUCUUACAUUAAUUGAUUUCUUUGAAGUUUAAAAUCAGUUGGUUUUUUUUGUUAUGUUGAUAUUCCUUUAACAUGUCAUGUGCAAUAUACUGUGUGCAGAUACAGAUGUUUUCCAAAAGUACGCAGUUUAGCAAAAAUUGGCCACUGAAAUAGAAAGCUAGUUUAAUUCUUCAAUCCAUUAAAAAGUAUGUUCUUGUGAAACUUGAAUAGGAUAUGAUAAUGCAAUGUGGAUACUUUGGUUAAUAAAUGUAUAUCGUGAUUUCUAAUAGCACCCUGAAAAAGUGGAAGAUGACAUAUUAGACCUACAGUGACAAUUUCAUACAAAGUUUUUGAUCAAGUUAGAAGUGACUUACUCAAAAAGAACUUUUAUGACUUAAACAUCUUUGUACAACACUUCUUAUAGAAAAUUCAUUUUUUUGGAUGUUGUCUUAGCUGAUAUUUAAAUAUUCAUGACAAGAUUUCUCAAAAUUAGAUAAUUUUUACAAUGUUUGAAGUAUUGUAUUAAAGAUGUUUGAAGCUCUAAUAGAAUUCAAGAUUUCAAAUACUUUUAGUGAAGUAGGAAACGUGGCCAUAUCAUAUCUCCUUUGUAAAUUUGCUGAAAACAUGUAGGCUGACAAAUUUAUGUUUCAUAUGAUACUUACAUUAUUAGUUUUAAGUACUUUAGUUUAAUAGAUACACACACUGUUUUAAUUUAAAUUCUUUAUUUCCACUAUUUCUAUUUACUUUCUUUUGCAAUGAUGUAUAUACUCAUGUUAUAGACUUCUUUAGAUUUACAUGAAUACUAUAUUUAUUU
RNAcentral lists this long non-coding RNA (2695 nucleotides) under Mytilus galloprovincialis (Mediterranean mussel). The record is from RNAcentral. Lineage: Eukaryota; Metazoa; Mollusca; Bivalvia; Mytilida; Mytilidae.